RNAcentral lists this small nuclear RNA (191 nucleotides) under Dasypus novemcinctus (nine-banded armadillo). Its description in RNAcentral is "U2 spliceosomal RNA (ENSDNOG00000042362.1)". It matches the Rfam family "U2 spliceosomal RNA". From Rfam's summary of the family: U2 is a small nuclear RNA (snRNA) component of the spliceosome (involved in pre-mRNA splicing). Complementary binding between U2 snRNA (in an area lying towards the 5' end but 3' to hairpin I) and the branchpoint sequence (BPS) of the intron results the bulging out of an unpaired adenosine, on the BPS, which initiates a nucleophilic attack at the intronic 5' splice site, thus starting the first of two transesterification reactions that mediate splicing. The record is from RNAcentral. Lineage: Eukaryota; Metazoa; Chordata; Mammalia; Cingulata; Dasypodidae.
ACUGCUUCUUGGCCUUUUGGCUGCCAUCAAGUAUAGUAUCUGUUUUUACCAGUUUAAUAUCUGAUACAUCCUCUAUCCAAGGAUAAUAUAUUAAAAGGAUUUUUAUAGCAGGGAGAUGGAACAGGGGCUUGUUCCUUCCACUGCACACAUCAUCCUGGUAUUACAGUACCUCCAGGAAUGAUGCACACACA